CAGAGGUCUCAAGCGUUGUUCGGAUUCAUUGGGCGUAAAGGGUGCGUAGGCGGCGCGGUAAGUCGGGUGUGAAAUUUCGAGGCUUAACUUCGAAACUGCAUUCGAUACUGCCGUGCUUGAGGACUGGAGAGGAGACUGGAAUUUACGGUGUAGCGGUGAAAUGCGUAGAUAUCGUAAGGAAGACCAGUGGCGAAGGCGGGUCUCUGGACAGUUCCUGACGCUGAGGCACGAAGGCCAGGGGAGCAAACGGGAUUAGAUACCCCGGUAGUCCUGGCAAUAAACGGUGCACGUUUGGUGUGGGAGGAUUCGACCCCUUCUGCGCCGGAGCUAACGCGUUAAACGUGCCGCCUGGGGAGUACGGUCGCAAGAUUA
RNAcentral lists this ribosomal RNA (372 nucleotides) under uncultured organism. RNAcentral describes it as "bacterial SSU rRNA". It matches the Rfam family "Bacterial small subunit ribosomal RNA", at positions 526 to 896 of the family's 1533-position model. The record is from RNAcentral.